This 477-nucleotide ribosomal RNA is filed under the name Sedimentibacter sp. enrichment culture clone JL1_Nt5. RNAcentral's name for it is "bacterial SSU rRNA". It matches the Rfam family "Bacterial small subunit ribosomal RNA", at positions 402 to 900 of the family's 1533-position model. Lineage: Bacteria; Bacillati; Bacillota; Tissierellia. The record is from RNAcentral.
UGAGUGAAGAAGGUCUUCGGAUCGUAAAACUCUGUCCUUGGUGAAGAUAAUGACGGUAGCCAAGGAGGAAGCCCCGGCUAACUACUUGCCAGCAGCCGCGGUAAUACUUAGGGGGCGAGCGUUGUCCGGAUUUACUGGGCGUAAAGGGUGAGUAAGCGGUAAUAUGUGUCAGAUGUAAAAGGCUAAGGCUUAACCAUAGUUAGCAUUUGAAACUGUAUUACUUGAGUGCAGGAGAAGUAAGUGGAAUUCCUAGUGUAACGGUGAAAUGCGUAUAUAUUAGGAGGAACACCAAUGGCGAAAGCGACUUACUGGACUGUAACUGACGCUGAAUCACCAAAGCGUGGGUAGCAAACAAGAUUAGAUACCCUGGUAAUCCACGCCGUAAACAAUGAGUGCUAGGUGUUGGGUAGCAAUACUCAUUGCCGAAGUAAACACAAUAAGCACUCCGCCUGGGGAGUACGGUCGCAAGACUGAAAC